GAUGAACGCUGGCGGCGUGCCUAAUACAUGCAAGUCGAGCGAACAGACGAGGAGCUUGCUCCUCUGACGUUAGCGGCGGACGGGUGAGUAACACGUGUAUAACCUACCUAUAAGACUGGGAUAACUUCGGGAAACCGGAGCUAAUACCGGAUAAUAUAUUGAACCGCAUGGUUCAAUAGUGAAAGACGGUUUUGCUGUCACUUAUAGAUGGAUCCGCGCCGCAUUAGCUAGUUGGUAAGGUAACGGCUUACCAAGGCAACGAUGCGUAGCCGACCUGAGAGGGUGAUCGGCCACACUGGAACUGAGACACGGACCAGACUACUACGGGAGGCAGCAGUAGGGAAUCUUCCGCAAUGGGCGAAAGCCUGACGGAGCAACGCCGCGUGAGUGAUGAAGGUCUUCGGAGCGUAAAACUCUGUUAUUAGGGAAGAACAAAUGUGUAAGUAACUAUGCACGUCUUGACGGUACCUAAUCAGAAAGCCACGGCUAACUACGUG
This 497-nucleotide ribosomal RNA is filed under the name uncultured bacterium. Its description in RNAcentral is "partial 16S ribosomal RNA". It matches the Rfam family "Bacterial small subunit ribosomal RNA", at positions 28 to 507 of the family's 1533-position model. The record is from RNAcentral.